This 683-nucleotide long non-coding RNA is filed under the name Vigna radiata. RNAcentral describes it as "long non-coding RNA (VRAD_LNC006863)". Lineage: Eukaryota; Viridiplantae; Streptophyta; Magnoliopsida; Fabales; Fabaceae. The record is from RNAcentral.
AUCCAACUAAUUCUGGUGGAAGAGGUAAUCAUCUGAAUCUUUUCCUCUGAAAGGACAUGAAUGCAACAACUUCUGGAUUCGAAAACUGAUUGAAAGUCGCAAGCGGUGGAUACGUGACUGAAUUGAUGAUAGAAUGUAGCGGAAUGAACGAAAAUUGUAAGAUGAAAUGUUUUUGGUGGAAUGAAGAUAUAAGGAAACAAAAGGAAUUGAAGGAACACUCCAAGAGGUGAUUUUUUGUGAUUGAGAAUUGAAAUGGAGGCAAAGGAGUAUAUGUUGAACUGUGAUGCGGAUGGAGUAAAGUAUGCUAGGAAUGGAAGCCUAGCUAGGGAGAGAGGCUAUAGGAAACUCUCAAGCUCUUUCUCGGUGACCUUCAAGGAAGAAGAUAAUUUUGAACUAAAUCAACAUAAGAAGAAAGCUAUUUAUAAGUUCUCUUGCUUGUGCAACCUCAAUUUUUGAAAUAUAAUAGUUGACAAGUCACAUGGGAGGCACUGCAGGCACGUGGAGAUCUCUUGAAUCUGCUGGAGCGGUUUUGAAGCUGUUGGAUGCACGUGAUGUCCUAAACACUGGCACUGAGCACGAGAUGGAGGGCGUUGAGUGCGAUAUGCCCUUUCGUUCCUCCUAAUCAGCUGGCGCUUUCACUUCACCCUUUCUUAAUGCUUCCUUGCUUCCUUCCUUGAUUCUCU